GCGAGCGUAGCCAAGUGGUUAAGGCAGCGGGUUGUGGUUCCGCUAUGCGCGGGUUCGAUUCCCGUCGUUCGCC
RNAcentral lists this transfer RNA (73 nucleotides) under Synura sphagnicola. Its description in RNAcentral is "tRNA-His". It matches the Rfam family "tRNA". From Rfam's summary of the family: Transfer RNA (tRNA) molecules are approximately 80 nucleotides in length. The record is from RNAcentral. Lineage: Eukaryota; Synurophyceae; Synurales; Mallomonadaceae.